RNAcentral lists this ribosomal RNA (433 nucleotides) under uncultured bacterium. RNAcentral describes it as "bacterial SSU rRNA". It matches the Rfam family "Bacterial small subunit ribosomal RNA", at positions 28 to 443 of the family's 1533-position model. The record is from RNAcentral.
GAUGAACGCUGGCGGCGUGCUUAACACAUGCAAGUCGAACGAAGCACUCAUGACAGAUUCUUCGGAUGAUGGAUUGAUUGACUGAGUGGCGGACGGGUGAGUAACGCGUGGGUAACCUGCCUCAUACAGGGGGAUAACAGUUAGAAAUGACUGCUAAUACCGCAUAAGCGCACAGUACCGCAUGGUACGGUGUGAAAAACUCCGGUGGUAUGAGAUGGACCCGCGUCUGAUUAGCUAGUUGGUGGGGUAAUGGCUCACCAAGGCGACGAUCAGUAGCCGGCCUGAGAGGAUGAACGGCCACAUUGGGACUGAGAUACGGCCCAGACUCCUACGGGAGGCAGCAGUGGGGAAUAUUGCACAAUGGGGGAAACCCUGAUGCAGCAACGCCGCGUGAAGGAUGAAGGUUUUCGGAUCGUAAACUUCUAUCAGCAGG